AACGAACGCUGGCGGCGUGCCUAACACAUGCAAGUCGAGGGAAAAAGGGGCUUCGGCUCCCGAGUAAACCGGCGCACGGGUGAGUAACACGUAGGUAACGUACCCUGGAGUCCGGGAUAACCAGUCGAAAGACUGGCUAAUACCGGAUACGACUACGAGGUCUCCGGACUUUGUAGUGAAAGAUGGCCUCUAUUUAUAAGCUAUCACUCCUGGAUCGGCCUGCGCACCAUUAGCUAGUUGGUGAGGAACGGCUCACCAAGGCUGAGAUGGUUAGCUGGUCUGAGAGGAUGGCCAGCCACACUGGGACUGAGACACGGCCCAGACUCCUACGGGAGGCAGCAGUGGGGAAUAUUGCGCAAUGGGGGAAACCCUGACGCAGCGACGCCGCGUGGGUGAUGAAGGCC
Molecule: ribosomal RNA, 404 nt
Filed under: uncultured bacterium
Lineage: Bacteria
Description: bacterial SSU rRNA
Rfam family: Bacterial small subunit ribosomal RNA
Source: RNAcentral